UACAGAGGGUGCGAGCGUUGUCCGGAAUCACUGGGCAUAAAGGGCGCGUAGGCGGCUUAUCAAGUCAGGGGUGAAAUCCGGCAGCUCAACUGUCGAAGUGCCUUUGAUACUGAUGAGCUCGAGGGAGGUAGGGGUCUGUGGAACUUCCGGUGGAGCGGUGAAAUGCGUUGAUAUCGGAAGGAACGCCGGUGGCGAAAGCGACGGACUGGACCUCUUCUGACGCUGAGGCGCGAAAGCUAGGGGAGCAAACGGG
RNAcentral lists this ribosomal RNA (253 nucleotides) under uncultured bacterium. Its description in RNAcentral is "partial 16S ribosomal RNA". It matches the Rfam family "Bacterial small subunit ribosomal RNA", at positions 524 to 776 of the family's 1533-position model. The record is from RNAcentral.